RNAcentral lists this ribosomal RNA (253 nucleotides) under uncultured bacterium. RNAcentral's name for it is "partial 16S ribosomal RNA". It matches the Rfam family "Bacterial small subunit ribosomal RNA", at positions 524 to 776 of the family's 1533-position model. The record is from RNAcentral.
UACAGAGGUGGCAAGCGUUGUUCGGAAUUACUGGGCGUAAAGGGCGCGUAGGCGGCCUUCUAAGUCAGACGUGAAAUCCCCCGGCUUAACCUGGGAACUGCGUCUGAUACUGGGAGGCUAGAGUAUGGGAGAGGGAUGUAGAAUUCCAGGUGUAGCGGUGAAAUGCGUAGAUAUCUGGAGGAACCCCAGAGGCGAAGGCGGCGCCCUGGCUCGCAACUGACGCUCAGACACGACAGCAUGGGGAGCGAACGGG